GAUGAACGCUGGCGGCGUGCCUAAUACAUGCAAGUCGAGCGAACAGACGAGGAGCUUGCUCCUCUGACGUUAGCGGCGGACGGGUGAGUAACACGUGGAUAACCUACCUAUAAGACUGGGAUAACUUCGGGAAACCGGAGCUAAUACCGGAUAAUAUAUUGAACCGCAUGGUUCAAUAGUGAAAGACGGUUUUGCUGUCACUUAUAGAUGGAUCCGCGCCGCAUUAGCUAGUUGGUAAGGUAACGGCUUACCAAGGCAACGAUGCGUAGCCGACCUGAGAGGGUGAUCGGCCACACUGGAACUGAGACACGGUCCAGACUCCUACGGGAGGCAGCAGUGGGGAAUCUUCCGCAAUGGGCGAAAGCCUGACCGAGCCACGCCGCGUGAAUGAUGAAGGUCUUCGGAUCGUAAAACUCUGUUAUUUGGAAAGAAAAAAUGUUGGAGAAACUAUGCACGUCUUGACGGUACCGAAAGAGAAAGCCACGGCUAACUACGUG
This 497-nucleotide ribosomal RNA is filed under the name uncultured bacterium. Its description in RNAcentral is "partial 16S ribosomal RNA". It matches the Rfam family "Bacterial small subunit ribosomal RNA", at positions 28 to 507 of the family's 1533-position model. The record is from RNAcentral.